Molecule: long non-coding RNA, 1194 nt
Filed under: Carica papaya (papaya)
Lineage: Eukaryota; Viridiplantae; Streptophyta; Magnoliopsida; Brassicales; Caricaceae
Description: long non-coding RNA (CPAP_LNC002754)
Source: RNAcentral
UUGGCUUUUCACAGAACAAUCAUACGAGAAAGAAACACCAGCACAACUUUUAACGUGCAUAUCACUUGUAUGCUCUUUGUUUUUUUAUUUGUCUUCUCAAUACCUAAAAUUCCGAUUACAUGUUAAUAUAUAUAUAUAUACUCCAAAUGAACUGACAAAAAAAAAAACAAAGAGCAUACACUCACAAUUCUAUUCCAGUGUUCAUUUGUCAGUCCAAAUUCUGGGAAGUCCUCGAGAAUACUUUCCAAAUUCCACCACAAUCAACUUCAUCCAAAAGAAUCAACAGGGUAAUUGCAAGGACAAGCAGAUAACAACUGCUUUUUCUUGCCACUCACAUCUCAGUGUGAUUGGAAGAAGUAAAAUAAGAAGACAGGAAGAAAGCAUUAAUUACUAACACAAGCUUCCAUGUCAUCUGCUUUAUCAACCUUUCACAAAGCCAAAAGAAAAAUGCUUCAGCUAUAUUCUCUCCUAACUCACUUGCUGUUCUGACUACCCUACAGAUCAUUUAACAUGGAAUAAACAAUUACUAUAGACCUGACAGCCUCCAACAUGGUUAAACUAUUGUCAAUGGAGACGAAUUCAGUUUUAAUAGGAUGUGGAAACCUUGUCCUACUAACUUCCAAACUUCCAUCUUCACUUAUAAUUUCAGAAUUUCAGUCUUAACACUAAUCAAGCUAAAGGACAAGGCAGGCAGGCCAAAAAAAAGCCUUUAUAAGACUCAUCCAUUCUUCCAGAGGGGGGCAUUGAUCUACCAAAAUAAGUCACUCUAGAAAAUACGACACGGAAGAAAAUAGAGAAUGGGAGGCUAAAACAAAAAUCUCCACCUACUCAACCAAAAAUGAUGAUACUACUACCCAGUUCCACUGACAAAAUAGACUCAUUUCACCUAAUUUAACCCAAAAAGGAGAAACAAAAUAUGAAAAAGAAAAAAAAAAAAAAAAAGGUAUGCAUGCAAGUCAACCACAGUAGGAUACCACAGGCGUACACACCCAUGGUUUAAGUAUCUAAAAUUUACACCCAAGAAAAGAAACUUCAAUUUAAAUAUGGUUUUCUUAAUACAGGAAGCCGUGGUUCCUGUUGAUAAUCAUAUCCUUCAAGACAUCCGGAACACCAAGUGCUAGUAACUUCACUUGCCACCCAAGGAGGGGAACUGCCCUGGAUCUUCAAUGGAGGGUGCUGGUGCAUUGCUNNNNN